Gallus gallus (chicken) is the source of this 2310-nucleotide long non-coding RNA. RefSeq lists it as uncharacterized. The transcript is spliced from 2 exons. The record is from RefSeq and is a predicted model, not a curated record. Lineage: Eukaryota; Metazoa; Chordata; Aves; Galliformes; Phasianidae.
GAGCCGUACCGAGCCGUGCCGAGCCCACCCGCGGGGCCGGGGGCGGUGGGGACCCCCGAGGAGGGCCCCGCGGCGCGGAGCGAGCGGCGGCGGCGGGGCCGUCCCCGGGCGCCUAUCGCCACCUGUUGGUGCCGGCACGGCUCGGCCCGGCACGGCCCGGCAGCGCCCGGCCCGGCUCGGUGCCGAUGAGCGGCCCACGGGCAGUAGGAUCGGCACGGCUUUGGCUCCGGGAGUGACGGCUGAUGAGUGCUGCGAGGCUGAAAGGAGAAGAAAACCCUUUGGCAAACGUUCGCUUUGAGUUUCUGGGCGAGCUGAAACGGGGCUCGGCCCCGGCGCUCCUCCCACGGCAUCAGACCUGGCACAAAACAUCCCAAAUCCCAACAGGGAUGAAGGAGGAGGUCGUGGUGAGGUGGGGGUCGGCCUCGGCUCCCAUCAAACAGCGACAGGACGGGAGGUGAUGGCCUCAAGCUGCAGCAGGAGGGGUUCGGGUUGGACGUUAGGAACGAUUUCCUCUCCAGAAGAGCAGUGCUGCUGCAGCACAGCUGCCCGUGGUGGUGGUGGUGGGCUCACACCAUCCCCAGGGCUGUUCAGUAACAGAUGUGGUGCCGAGGGAUGCGGUCGGUGGUUUGGUUGGACCCAGUGAUCUUAGUGGCCUUUUCCAACCCUCACGACUCAAUGAAAUCCCAACCAAAUCCCAUUGAGGACAGGGGUUGCAUCCUUACGGUGCACGGCUCCAUGCAAUGGGGGCCCAGGUGAGCACCGGGAGCGUCCGCUGUCAUGGGAUGGGGGCUCAUGGGUCCCUCAGCCCCACAUGAGUGAAACAACCAGCUCGCCUUUCUGAAUAAUUAAAUGGGAGAUGUUGGAGGAAAGAAAUCAGGGCAUCGUUUGGCUAAUUAUCUCGAAGCCAGAGCAACCAAAAAAAAAAAAAAAAAGAAAGAAAGAAAGAAAAAAAAGCACGCAAAGUUAAUUUAAUUGGGUCAAACAAUAGCGUUGCCAUGAAGCAGCUGCAUGGGGCUCCUGUAGCGCCUCGCUGGGACCUCGGCUCUGUGUCACUGCUUGGGGAACCUCGUGUUGGGGGAACACAUGGGGAAAUGGGCUUUGUGGAGCCGUGUGAGCCUGUGGGACGUUGUCCAUGUCGUCCCCAUGCUGCAGCCUGGCCGUGCCCUAUGCAAUAGCCAGGGGUUUGGGGAGCAUUGCAAAGGGAGAGUCCCAAAGCAUCCUGAAAAACAGGAAGAGAAGGCUGAGAAUGCAGCAUAGGCAGGGCUGGGAGCUCAGCUGCGGGUGCCAGGGGGAGGGGGGCACCUGGAGCUGCCCCAGAUGUUCCCCAGGUGGAGCAUCCGUGUGUCCUCCAGGGACAUCCACCCCAAGGGCUCCCGUGGAUGAGGGCGAAGCUCUGCAGCUUUAACACCUGCAGAAGGCUCCGAUGAAAAGCAAAGGCGCCGCAAUGGGAUGAAAGCGUGUGGGCAAAGCAUCUUAUCUGGGGCUGAAACAACGCGCCUGACAACAACACCCAGCGAGGAGAACGCGCUCGGAGAGGGAUGUUUUAAUCUGAUCUCGCUGCAGAAAUAAAGCGCUUCCUUGUCACAGCGCUGACAAAAGAAAAGGCGACAGAGCCAGAAAACAAUUAUAUCUGCAUAAAGAGAUAUAGGGUUGGUUUUUUAAUUUGUUAAUUAGUGACUGCUGGGCAUCACAAGGAUCGUUGUUUUCUCUGAUAUGCUGAUUUCUUCCUUCUCUCGGUGGAAUUGGAGAGCGCACGCACACAGAAAGACACUUCUUUACAAUGGGGAAUGGGGAAGAAGUUUCAGAAAGGUCAGGAGAAAUGUGAUAGGAAGAAGGAGUCUGAGUUCUCCUUUCCUGGAGGGGCUCUGUACUCCGGGUGAGAACUACCCAGGCACAACAAAAUGGGUUCUGAAUUAUAGAUCAAGAGAGUCGCCGGUGGGCGCCUCGGGUGGGGGGUGCGGAUGUGGGAUGCAAGAGGGGCAGAGAGCAAAACCCGGGGCAGGGAAAGCAGGGGAGAUUUCCUCAGCAACAUCUCUGCACUACUGAGCAACGCUGGCAAGAACUCUGCACCACCGCAGCUGGUAUCUAUGGGUCCCAAACACAACCGUAGAGAGAUCAAAAAAAACCACAGUCCCUCCGUUCCCUGCCUGCUGGGGCAGCGAGGAAGGCUUGCGUGGAAUAUUUACUCUCUCUAUCUGCCUUUAACAUAUCUAUCUGUGCUGCCAGCUGUCUGCAUUUGUGCAGCUCUUUGAACGCCGCGCUGCAGAAAUAGUUUGCUCCGGAGCAACAGAUAAAAUGGUUUUCCAGUUG